Molecule: transfer RNA, 73 nt
Filed under: Stegodyphus mimosarum
Lineage: Eukaryota; Metazoa; Arthropoda; Arachnida; Araneae; Eresidae
Rfam family: tRNA
About the family: Transfer RNA (tRNA) molecules are approximately 80 nucleotides in length. Their secondary structure includes four short double-helical elements and three loops (D, anti-codon, and T loops).
Source: Rfam by way of RNAcentral
GCCUUCGUAUUGUAGUGGUCAGCACGCUGGACAGGUAUUCCAGAGGUCCAUGGUUCGAGUCCCGGUGAGGACG